UACGUAGGGGGCUAGCGUUGUCCGGAAUCAUUGGGCGUAAAGAGCGUGUAGGCGGCUCGGUAAGUCCGCUGUGAAAGUCCAGGGCUCAACCCUGGAAUGCCAGUGGAAACUGUCGAGCUAGAGUCCGGAAGAGGCGAGUGGAAUUCCUGGUGUAGCGGUGAAAUGCGCAGAUAUCAGGAGGAGCACCGGUGGCGAAGGCGGGUCUCUGGGCCGUUACUGACGCUGAGGAGCGAAAGCGUGGGGAGCAAACAGG
Molecule: ribosomal RNA, 253 nt
Filed under: uncultured bacterium
Lineage: Bacteria
Description: partial 16S ribosomal RNA
Rfam family: Bacterial small subunit ribosomal RNA
Source: RNAcentral